AGAUCAUGAGGGAGACUUUGAUAUAUUUGUCACAUCUUGAUCACGAGGACACGGAAAAGCUGAUGCUAAAGAAGCUAAGCAAACAAUUAAGUGGCGAGGAUUGGAAUUGGAACAACUUAAACACAUUAUGUUGGGCAAUAGGGUCUAUAUCUGGUUCGAUGAUGGAAGAACAGGAGAAUAGAUUUUUGGUUAUGGUCAUUCGUGACUUGCUGAAUUUAUGCGAAAUCAUGAAAGGGAAGGAUAACAAAGCUGUCAUCGCAAGUAACAUUAUGUAAGU
Long non-coding RNA from Humulus lupulus (European hop), 277 nucleotides. RefSeq lists it as uncharacterized. Lineage: Eukaryota; Viridiplantae; Streptophyta; Magnoliopsida; Rosales; Cannabaceae. The record is from RefSeq and is a predicted model, not a curated record. The transcript is spliced from 3 exons.